GACGAACGCUGGCGGCGUGCUUAACACAUGCAAGUCGAACGGUAAGGCCCUUCGGGGUACACGAGUGGCGAACGGGUGAGUAACACGUGGGUGAUCUGCCCUGCACUUCGGGAUAAGCCUGGGAAACUGGGUCUAAUACCGGAUAGGACUCCUGGCUUCAUGGUUGGGGGUGGAAAGCUUUUGCGGGGUGGGAUGGGCCCGCGGCCUAUCAGCUUGUGGGUGGGGUAAUGGCCUACCAAGGCGACGACGGGUAGCCGGACUGAGAGGGUGACCGGUCACACAGGGACUGAGAUACGGCCCAGACUCCUACGGGAGGCAGCAGUGGGGAAUAGUGCACCAUGGGCGCAAGCCUGAUGCAGCGACGCCGCGUGAGGGAUGACGGCCUUCGGGUUGUAAACCUCUUUCAGCUAUGACGAAGCGCAAGUGACGGUAGUAGCAGAAGAAGGACCGGCCAACUACGUGCCAGCCGCCGCAGUAA
Molecule: ribosomal RNA, 478 nt
Filed under: uncultured bacterium
Lineage: Bacteria
Description: partial 16S ribosomal RNA
Rfam family: Bacterial small subunit ribosomal RNA
Source: RNAcentral